AAAACCUUGUAACUCGGCCUGAAACUCGUCGGAACAAAACCCACCAAGUCGAAGCUUCCAAGUUGCUCCGCGUUGACCAUUCAAAACUCAACCAACUCGUGAUCAGUUGGUACGGUUGUGUUCGUGAAGUCGAGUAGAGCACGAUGGUGGUGGUCACUGGUUCGAUUUGUGAAGAUUUGGUGUUGUUAUUCUUUGUUGCAG
This 201-nucleotide long non-coding RNA is filed under the name Malus domestica (apple). RNAcentral's name for it is "long non-coding RNA (MDOM_LNC005535)". The record is from RNAcentral. Lineage: Eukaryota; Viridiplantae; Streptophyta; Magnoliopsida; Rosales; Rosaceae.